GGAGGGCUGUAGCUCAGUGCUAGAGCAUCUGCUUUGCAUACCGAAGGUCUCAGGUUCAAUCCCCGGUAUUUCCA
Molecule: non-coding RNA, 74 nt
Organism: Podarcis lilfordi (Lilford's wall lizard)
Lineage: Eukaryota; Metazoa; Chordata; Lepidosauria; Squamata; Lacertidae
Source: the annotation of a GenBank genome assembly